RNAcentral lists this ribosomal RNA (492 nucleotides) under uncultured bacterium. RNAcentral describes it as "partial 16S ribosomal RNA". It matches the Rfam family "Bacterial small subunit ribosomal RNA", at positions 29 to 507 of the family's 1533-position model. The record is from RNAcentral.
AGUGAACGCUGGCGGUAGGCCUAACACAUGCAAGUCGAACGGCAGCACAGUAAGAGCUUGCUCUUACGGGUGGCGAGUGGCGGACGGGUGAGGAAUACAUCGGAAUCUACUUUUUCGUGGGGGAUAACGUAGGGAAACUUACGCUAAUACCUCAUACGACCUACGGGUGAAAGCAGGGGAUCUUCGGACCUUGCGCGAUUGAAUGAGCCGAUGUCGGAUUAGCUAGUUGGCGGGGUAAAGGCCCACCAAGGCGACGAUCCGUAGCUGGUCUGAGAGGAUGAUCAGCCACACUGGAACUGAGACACGGUCCAGACUCCUAAGGGAGGCAGCAGUGGGGAAUAUCGGACAAUGGGCGCAAGCCUGAUCCAGCCAUACCGCGUGGGUGAAGAAGGCCUUCGGGUUGUAAAGCCCUUUUGUUGGGAAAGAAAAGCAGCAGGUUAAUACCCCGCUGUUCUGACGGUACCCAAAGAAUAAGCACCGGCUAACUUCGUG